UACGGAAGGUGCAAGCGUUAAUCGGAAUUACUGGGCGUAAAGCGCGCGUAGGCGGCUUGGUAAGUCGGGUGUGAAAGCCCCGGGCUCAACCUAGGAACGGCACUCGAUAAUGCUUGUCUGGAGUACGAGAGAGGGGGGUGGAAUUCCGGGUGUAGCGGUGAAAUGCGUAGAGAUCUGGAGGAACACCGGUGGCGAAGGCGGCUCACUGGCUCGAUACUGACGCUGAGAUGCGAAAGCGUGGGGAGCAAACAGG
Molecule: ribosomal RNA, 253 nt
Filed under: uncultured bacterium
Lineage: Bacteria
Description: partial 16S ribosomal RNA
Rfam family: Bacterial small subunit ribosomal RNA
Source: RNAcentral